Molecule: ribosomal RNA, 510 nt
Filed under: Alteromonas sp.
Lineage: Bacteria; Pseudomonadati; Pseudomonadota; Gammaproteobacteria; Alteromonadales; Alteromonadaceae
Description: bacterial SSU rRNA
Rfam family: Bacterial small subunit ribosomal RNA
Source: RNAcentral
CCGCGUGUGUGAAGAAGGCCUUCGGGUUGUAAAGCACUUUCAGUUGUGAGGAAAAGUUAGUAGUUAAUACCUGCUAGCCGUGACGUUAACAACAGAAGAAGCACCGGCUAACUCCGUGCCAGCAGCCGCGGUAAUACGGAGGGUGCGAGCGUUAAUCGGAAUUACUGGGCGUAAAGCGCACGCAGGCGGUUUGUUAAGCUAGAUGUGAAAGCCCCGGGCUCAACCUGGGAUGGUCAUUUAGAACUGGCAGACUAGAGUCUUGGAGAGGGGAGUGGAAUUCCAGGUGUAGCGGUGAAAUGCGUAGAUAUCUGGAGGAACAUCAGUGGCGAAGGCGACUCCCUGGCCAAAGACUGACGCUCAUGUGCGAAAGUGUGGGUAGCGAACAGGAUUAGAUACCCUGGUAGUCCACACCGUAAACGCUGUCUACUAGCUGUGUGUGCCUUUAAGGCGUGAGUAGCGAACCUAACGCGCUAAGUAGACCGCCUGGGGAGUACGGCCGCAAGGUUAAAA